Molecule: RNA transcript, 1237 nt
Organism: Herpailurus yagouaroundi (jaguarundi)
Lineage: Eukaryota; Metazoa; Chordata; Mammalia; Carnivora; Felidae
Gene: HSD17B7
Gene name: hydroxysteroid 17-beta dehydrogenase 7
Exons: 11
Source: RefSeq, a predicted model, not a curated record
GCGGCGUGGGCGUGGCCGAGGAGGGCUUCAGGUUUCCACCGCUCGCGAGGCAGUGGCGGGUGCCGGCUCCGCGGCAGGGCGGCGGGGUGGGAGACCAUGCGGAAAGCGGUGUUGGUCACCGGGGCGAGCAGCGGCGUUGGCCUCGCCCUCUGCAAGCGGCUGCUGGAGGAGGACCACGAGCUGCACCUGUGUCUGGCCUGCAGGAACAGGAGCAAAGCGGAAGCGGUCCGCGAGGCUCUGCUGGCCUCUCACCCCCUCGCCGAGGUCAGCAUCGUGCAGGUGGAUGUCAGCGACCUGCAGUCGGUGUUCCGGGCUUCCGGGGAGCUCAAGCAAAGGUUUCAGAGAUUAGACUAUGUCUAUCUGAACGCUGGGAUCAUGCCCAACCCACAGCUGAAUAUCAAAGCGCUUUUCUCUGGCCUCUUUUCAAGAAAAGUGAUUCAUAUGUUCUCCACAGCUGAAGGAUUGCUGACCCAGGAAGAUCAAAUCACUGCCGACGGGCUCCAGGAGGUGUUUGAGACCAACGUCUUUGGCCACUUCAUCCUGAUUCAGGAACUGGCACCUCUCCUCUGUCACAGUGACAGUCCUUCCCAGCUCAUCUGGACAUCGUCUCGCAAUGCGAGGAAAUCGAAUUUCUGCCUCGAGGACAUCCAGCACAGCAGAGGCCAGGAGCCCUACAGCUCCUCCAAGUACGCGGUUGACCUGCUCAGCGUGGCUGUGAACAAGAACUUCAACUCGCGGGGUCUGUAUUCCAGCGUGGUGUGCCCGGGUACCAUGGUGACCAAUAUGACGUGUGGAAUUCUCCCUCCCUUUGUGUGGACACUGCUGAUGCCAAUCAUAUGGCUGCUUCGCUUUUUUGCAAAUGCUUUCACUCUGACACCGUACAAUGGAACAGAAGCCCUGGUAUGGCUUUUCCACCAAAAGCCCGAGUCUCUCAAUCCCCUGACCAAAUACCUGAGCGCCACCACUGGCUUUGGAAGCAAUUACGUAAUGACCCAGAAGUAUCCUGAAGAAGAAAUCCUUGGGAAUUCUAUUUCGGUUGAUGUCUUCUGUUACUGGAUGCACAGGGGUUAGUGGGGAGAGAAAAACCAGACCUUUCAGUCUUGCUGGGCAAGGGCAGCGUCGGUAGGUUUGAUGGACCUAGAUGAAGACACCGCUGAAAAAUUUUACCAAAACUUACUGGAACUGGAAAAGCACGUUAGGGCCACCAUUCAAAAAAGAAAUCAUCAGAGCUGACCGU